This 213-nucleotide ribosomal RNA is filed under the name Triticum aestivum (bread wheat). RNAcentral's name for it is "partial small subunit ribosomal RNA". The record is from RNAcentral. Lineage: Eukaryota; Viridiplantae; Streptophyta; Magnoliopsida; Poales; Poaceae.
AUGCAAGCUUAUGCAGACACCAAGGUCGGCACUGUUGUUAAUCCGGCGCUCGGAACUAGCUUUGACACAGUUGAAGGAGCAUAUGAGUUUUACAACUUAUACUCCUGGGAGACUGGCUUCGGCGUCAGGUAUGACAAAAGCAGGCUGAACAUCCAUCGGAUAAAAUGCAUGCAGGAGUUUGUGUGCGCAUGCGCGGUGAGGACAAUUCAUUAA